RNAcentral lists this ribosomal RNA (253 nucleotides) under uncultured bacterium. Its description in RNAcentral is "partial 16S ribosomal RNA". It matches the Rfam family "Bacterial small subunit ribosomal RNA", at positions 524 to 776 of the family's 1533-position model. The record is from RNAcentral.
UACGAAGGGGGCUAGCGUUGUUCGGAAUCACUGGGCGUAAAGCGCACGUAGGCGGAUGUGCAAGUCAGGGGGGAAAUCCCGGAGCUCAACUCCGGAACUGCCUCUGAUACAGCACGUCUUGAGUUCGAGAGAGGUGGGUGGAAUUCCUAGUGUAGAGGUGAAAUUCGUAGAUAUUAGGAAGAACACCGGUGGCGAAGGCGGCCCACUGGCUCGAUACUGACGCUGAGGUGCGAAAGCGUGGGGAGCAAACAGG